Molecule: ribosomal RNA, 255 nt
Filed under: uncultured bacterium
Lineage: Bacteria
Description: partial 16S ribosomal RNA
Rfam family: Bacterial small subunit ribosomal RNA
Source: RNAcentral
UACGUAGGGUGCGAGCGUUUGUCCGGAAUUAUUGGGCGUAAAGAGCUCGUAGGCGGUCUGUCGCGUCGAUCGUGAAAACUUGGGGCUUAACCCUGAGCUUGCGGUUGAUACGGGCAUGACUGGAGUUCGGCAGGGGAGACUGGAAUUCCUGGUGUAGCGGUGAAAUGCGCAGAUAUCAGGAGGAACACCGGUGGCGAAGGCGGGUCUCUGGGCCGAUACUGACGCUGAGGAGCGAAAGCGUGGGGAGCGAACAGG